GGAAAAGNAACCAACAGGGAUUACCUCAGUAACGGCGAGUGAAGCGGUAACAGCUCAAAUUUGAAAGCUAGCUCUUUUAGGGUUCGCAUUGUAAUUUGUAGAAGAUGCUUCGGGUGUGGCCCCGGUCUAAGUUCCUUGGAACAGGACGUCAUAGAGGGUGAGAAUCCCGUAUGUGACUGGGUGCUUUCGCUCAUGUGAAGCUCUUUCGACGAGUCGAGUUGUUUGGGAAUGCAGCUCAAAAUGGGUGGUAAAUUUCAUCUAAAGCUAAAUAUUGGCCAGAGACCGAUAGCGCACAAGUAGAGUGAUCGAAAGAUGAAAAGCACUUUGGAAAGAGAGUUAAACAGUACGUGAAAUUGUUGAAAGGGAAGCGCUUGCAACCAGACUUGCGCGCUGAUGAUCAUCCGGGCUUCUGCCCGGUGCACUCGUCUGCGCUCAGGCCAGCAUCGGUUUCGGUGGUGGGAUAAAGGCCUUGGGAAUGUAGCUCCUCUCGGGGAGUGUUAUAGCCCUCGGUGCAAUGCCGCCUACCGGGACCGAGGACCGCGCUUCGGCUAGGAUGCUGGCGUAAUGGUUGUAAGCGACCCGUCUUGAAACACGGACCAAGGAGUCUAACAUCUAUGCGAGUGUUUGGGUGUCAAACCCAUACGCGUAAUGAAAGUGAACGGAGGUGAGAACCCUUAAGGGUGCAUCAUCGACCGAUCCUGAUGUCUUCGGAUGGAUUUGAGUAAGAGCAUAGCUGUUGGGACCCGAAAGAUGGUGAACUAUGCGUGAAUAGGGUGAAGCCAGAGGAAACUCUGGUGGAGGCUCGCAGCGGUUCUGACGUGCAAAUCGAUCGUCAAAUUUGCGUAUAGGGGCGAAAGACUAAUCGAACCAUCUAGUAG
Molecule: ribosomal RNA, 878 nt
Filed under: Cadophora fastigiata
Lineage: Eukaryota; Fungi; Ascomycota; Leotiomycetes; Helotiales; Ploettnerulaceae
Description: LSU rRNA
Rfam family: Eukaryotic large subunit ribosomal RNA
Source: RNAcentral